RNAcentral lists this long non-coding RNA (1050 nucleotides) under Coturnix japonica (Japanese quail). Its description in RNAcentral is "lncRNA (ENSCJPG00005000135.1)". Lineage: Eukaryota; Metazoa; Chordata; Aves; Galliformes; Phasianidae. The record is from RNAcentral.
UGGCGAUGAUGGUGGCCAGGAUCAUGUACUCGAACGGAGUGAGAGGUCAAGGAAUUAACGGGUAAUUAACGGGUAAUUAACGGGUAAUUAACGGGUAAUAACGGCAAUAAUGGCUAAUUAACGGGUAAUUAAUUAACGGUGGCGAUGAUGGUGGCCAGGAUCAUGUACUCGAACGGAGUGAGAGGUCAAGGAAUUAACGGUAAUUAACGGUAAUUAACGGGUAAUUAACGGGAAUUAACGGGAAUUAACGGGGAAUUAACGGGGAAUUAACGGGGUUAUAGGAUAUCCUAUAGGGCAUUCUAUGGGGUGGAUAUGGCCACUCUGUGAUCCUCUUGGCUAUGGGGGUGGGCUAUGGGGUGGGUUAUAGGGGUGGGCUAUAGGGUCAGUCUAUAGGGUGGGUUAUGGGUCAGUCUAUAGGGCAGUCUAUGGGUCAGUCUAUGGGGCGGAUAUGGCCACUCGGUGAUCCUCUUGGCUAUGGGGUGGGUUAUAGGGGAUGCUAUAUGGGUCAGUCUAUGGGGUGGGCUAUAGGGCAUUCUAUGGGGCGGAUAUGGCCACUCAGUGAUCCUCUUGGCUAUGGGGUGGGCUAUAGGGCAGUCUAUAGGGCAGUCUAUAGGGUAUCCUAUAGGGCAGUCUAUAGGGUCUCUAUAGGAUGGAUAUGGCCACUCAGUGAUCCUCUUGGCUAUGGGGUGGGCUAUAGGGCAGUCUAUGGGUCAGUCUAUGGGUCAGUCUAUAGGGCAGUCUAUGGGGUGGGUUAUAGGGUCGGAUAUGGCCACUCAGUGAUCCUCUUGGCGUACUUCCUGACGGCGUUAUCUUCACUGAAGAGGAACAACGAUCUGUUGACUGUGAAGCAGUUCUGUUUAACAGGGAUGGGGUUGUAGAGAGCCAUAGUCCGGGCCCUCUGAGCCAUCGACUGCUUAUACAUCCUUUGGCCGCCAGGGGGCGCCCCAACAGCGACGCCCCCGAUAACGCCGGGACCCCCCCCAGCCGAUCUGGGACCCCCCGAUACAACGCGACCCAUCGAGGAGCCCAACGGGCCCCCCCCGCCCGCCC